CAGCCGCCACGGUAAUACGAAGGGGGCUAGCGUUGCUCGGAAUCACUGGGCGUAAAGGGUGCGUAGGCGGGUCUUUAAGUCAGGGGUGAAAUCCUGGAGCUCAACUCCAGAACUGCCUUUGAUACUGAAGAUCUUGAGUUCGGGAGAGGUGAGUGGAACUGCGAGUGUAGAGGUGAAAUUCGUAGAUAUUCGCAAGAACACCAGUGGCGAAGGCGGCUCACUGGCCCGAUACUGACGCUGAGGCACGAAAGCGUGGGGAGCAAACAGGAUUAGAGACCCCAGUAGUCCCUGUCUCUUAUAC
This 301-nucleotide ribosomal RNA is filed under the name uncultured bacterium. RNAcentral describes it as "partial 16S ribosomal RNA". It matches the Rfam family "Bacterial small subunit ribosomal RNA", at positions 509 to 807 of the family's 1533-position model. The record is from RNAcentral.